RNAcentral lists this ribosomal RNA (107 nucleotides) under Piscinoodinium sp. RWL-2007. RNAcentral's name for it is "partial large subunit ribosomal RNA". It matches the Rfam family "Eukaryotic large subunit ribosomal RNA", at positions 1 to 104 of the family's 3401-position model. The record is from RNAcentral. Lineage: Eukaryota; Dinophyceae; Suessiales; Suessiaceae.
UCACAGCAUGAAUGCAGGUUAGCAAACCCGCUGAAUUUAAGCAUAUAAGUAAGCGGUGGAAAAUAUAUUAAAUAAUAUUCCCUUAGUAAUGGCGAAUGAACAGGGAA